AUUGAAACUUUUUAGUUCACCUACUCAUUGCAUAGUUGAAUAUAUUAUGUUGAUUGAUACACAUUGUGCAUAUCAUUGCAAAGUUGAAACAUAUGAGUUAAUCAAUAUAUUAUUUGGCAUUUCAGUUAUCCCUUUUGGAGGUUAGUUCAUUGCAUGCCUCCUCUUUUUUUCCCAAAUGCUUAGUUUUGUACCAUCCUUUACCAUUGUUUUCAUUUAUAUUAG
This 222-nucleotide unclassified non-coding RNA is filed under the name Hevea brasiliensis (rubber tree). The record is from RNAcentral. Lineage: Eukaryota; Viridiplantae; Streptophyta; Magnoliopsida; Malpighiales; Euphorbiaceae.